RNAcentral lists this ribosomal RNA (244 nucleotides) under uncultured bacterium. RNAcentral describes it as "partial 16S ribosomal RNA". It matches the Rfam family "Bacterial small subunit ribosomal RNA", at positions 533 to 776 of the family's 1533-position model. The record is from RNAcentral.
UGCUAGCGUUGUUCGGAAUCACUGGGCGUAAAGGGCGUGUAGGCGGUCUGUUAAGUCUGAUGUGAAAUCCCGAGGCUCAACCUCGGGCCUGCAGUGGGUACGGGCAGACUGGAGUGCGGUAGGGGAGAAUGGAAUUCCUGGUGUAGCGGUGGAAUGCGCAGAUAUCAGGAGGAACACCGAUGGCGAAGGCAGUUCUCUGGGCCGUAACUGACGCUGAGGAGCGAAAGCGUGGGGAGCGAACAGG